GAAGCCACAUGCAGGUCGAGGUGAAGUAAACGCCAGCGUAGUGGAUGUCGGCACUGAGAAGUUAUGUUCAUAAUUUCGGAUCACGCCGAGUUAUAUUACCCCGUGACGUAUUGCAAUCAACAGAAGAAAUCUCCCUUUGGAUCCUGUAAAGAUGUCUCCACCUGCUAAAACCCAGGGCUCCAUGUUGGACUGCAUCAUCCAGCCACCCCUCGCCCAUUCUCCACUUGUUCAUUCACCAUCCUUCGAGAGACAUUUCCAUUGAAUCAUUGCAAACCGAAACCAACCUGACUUCUGGAAGAAUGUGAAAAGAAGUAGCCAGCACCUGGUGACACAACUCCAGUACUAACAAGACACUUUAACCCAAACUAAGAGAGACAAAUGAAUGAUGAAGCCAAAAAUCUACGCAUCAGUAGGGUGCCGCCAGAUCACUGUGCCGUCGUUCCACCUCUGAACACUCAAACGGAAUUGAGGGGAGCCAAGAGGAACCGGAACAAUUUGGCCUGAUAGCACACCCUCUGCUCAACAUUGCUAAGCGACCACCGUGAACUCAAUUUUGUGAGCCUUCCCUUACCUAGAGGCUAGAGCUAGGAACAGUUGGUGUAUUCGGAUCUGGCUACUUCCCUCUGGACCAGUGCUGGAUCUGGCUGAAUCGAGUGAUGUAUUGUGUCCAAGCACAUAGACAGACAUAAAGGCUGAUGAAAAAAAUAACACACAGAGAGACAGACACUGACAGAAACGGAAACAAGAAGACAGGCCAAACUGGAACCAGUGUUUUCUAAUGGACACGUCAGACUUUGCCCUUUAUUGCUGAAUCUGUGUAAACAAACUGGACCUCUAUCUCCCCAUGUUAGAGGAAUAUGUUUGUAUGUGUCAUUGCGUGUAAAAAGUUGGCAAUCAGCCUUCAAACUGCCUCUUUCACACCUCUCUGCCAUCCUGUUUGAAUAUGCAAAUGUUGGUGUAAAAAACAAGAGAAAAAGACUGGUGCUGGUACAGUUGUUGUCUCCGAAAUAACUGUGGCUCACAAGCUGUGUUUAACCACCAGCAAGACAUAAUGUGACAUUUCACAGGCAACCAAACAUACAGGAAGGAUUCUGACCUUUCGAGGUUCAAAUGUACUAAUCAAAUUGAUACCUGCAUACACACUCACACACACAGUCGUGAUGGCUUUCACACAGGUUUUACUUCUGUGUGAUCUCCAAGUGGCAUGGUCAUUAUUCUGAUUCUACUAGAAAAUGAGCAUCAAAUAACCUAAUAUGUUAUAUUAUUUUAUGUUCUCCAUUAGUUUCGGGGGGUUUUCUUUGUAAUGCAGAAACAAAUAUACCAUGUUUUAUUAGAAAUAAUAAUUAUGUGUGUAUGAGAAUGAAAAUAUAUGAGAAAAAAAUAUAGGGGAAUGUGGGGGAGAACAGUGUUGGGCAAAUGAGACAAUGAGUGUUUGUGACAGAUUGUAAUAAUGGAUGUGAGAGAGCAUAGUGUGAAAUACAUUUGUUUUAAUUAAAGAAACGUCAUUUUGUAGGAA
Molecule: long non-coding RNA, 1516 nt
Organism: Eleginops maclovinus (Patagonian blennie)
Lineage: Eukaryota; Metazoa; Chordata; Actinopteri; Perciformes; Eleginopidae
Exons: 5
Source: RefSeq, a predicted model, not a curated record